UCCUUCAACUUUUGUUCCCAAAUUCUUCCAUUCCGCCUCGUCCAACCAGUUCACACUAUGGCUUUGGGAAUAUUUUCCUUUAACCAUCUAAUUUUAGUAGUUGGAGAAUCAAUGAGACCCUUUCCCAACGCUUCUUUUAUACUCACAGGGAACACCCAACGCUUGUUGAAGAAAGACAACAAUACCUCACAUAAUGCUUCGGCGAGCGGUCAAGUUAAUAGUAAAUACUCCAUCUCUUCCUCUCUCUCAUUGAACACGAAACACAAAUGAAAAAAGAAAAACUCUGUCAGUCUAUGUGAAAUUGCUCUAUUCCAAAUACUACUCAACAGCUAAGUAAGCUGACAUGUCUAAUGGAAUGGAAGCUUUUAGGUUCAAGUCCAGCUUAUCUACCAUCCAAAAUCAUCUAGAAUGAGGACAUAUAACAAAAUUACAUCAACCUUUGAAAAUUAGUUUUUGGAGAAUUAUUGAAUUACAGUAUGGCCUAAUUUAAUCAUUAUCCAUAAACAAGAAUAAAACAGAUGAAAUCAAGGAAACAAACCAAAAAAGGGGAGAAAAGUCAAAUCUUGGAGUAAUGAUGAGGACAUAGAAUUUUUUUAUAAAGGUAUAUUUAGACAUCAUAUACUAAAGAGAUGAAUUACACCAACUAAAUGAACUCCGUAGAGAUGUCUCAGAUUAGCAUAUUGGCACAUUUGUCCUAGCCAGCCACAAGCCGAGGUUCAAACUACCCCAGUGCGCAUAUCUUGUGGAGACUCAUGCUUCAGUUUUUCAUCACUGACUAUCAUACGGAGAAUUGCAGAAAAAAAAUAUUAUAUUCAAUUCAAAAUGAGAUUACUUUAGAAUUUGCCUUUGUAGGGUUCCUUCCAUCUAAUUGCCUAGUGAUGAAUGUCUCUUCCAGUCAUACUUGUAAAUAUCCUUCCUUGUUUCAGGAAAAAAUGGAAUAUCACUAAGAUCAUUAAUGAAAUAACAUGAAGUUUUUUUCCGCUAUACACAAUGUUUAACACAAGAAGGCAAAAACAAAUAAAAAAAACAAGAGGAGGCACAACAACAAAGCAAGAUAAGUAAAAUGGAAAGACACCCUUUUUCUCAUUCGAGUGCAGACUAAACAAGGAUUAUAAUCGUAAUAUUUUCUUUCAUUACAGUUUCUACAAUAAGAAAUGAGAUACAGUCAUACAGCUAUCUCUUAGUUGCAACAACCUUCUCUCCGCAAAUGUAAAGUUGGUAGUAAUUUAAGUCAAUGUUGUACCCAUGUGGACAAUUAUUUGGUUUUUAUUAAUUUUCUCAGUGAACUUGAUUUACGAAUAUGUUUUAUUUAUACAGUUAUUAGCCACAACAUGAACAGGGAGGGCUAAUAGAAAUCUUUUUUUCUGUGAGACUGGAUAUUGAGUUGAAUAUGAACAGGAAGACAACUUCAGAACUAAAAUGAUUCUUGUCUAAGGUUCAUCUUCUAUAAGCAAGAGAAGAAAGCGAACAUUUAGACAGGACAAGCCUAUAUCCCAUACAUUGGAAAUUGAAGGCAAUCCUCAUUCAAUUUAUUAACUUUUCUAAUAGAUUGGUUCAUUUUGAUGCACUUCUGACAGAUAUAAGUACUGUACAGGUUUUAGAAUCUAUUGAUCAUCAUGGCACCAAGGCAGAGCCUUUAUUGCUAACAGGAUUGUAUACAGUAGCUUAACUGAAACAGAAACACUCCACAUUAUGGAUUACUGGAAGAACUGAUACUUAGAUUGGAACUCCAAGUAAUGAACAAGAACUUAAACAGGGGAGGACUGUGCUCUGAUCUCAGCUGCAGCACAGACAUACAUAAAAAUUCAUUUAUCUCAAAGUACCAUAUCGGGAAGGGCUAAAAGAAAGUAUGAUAAUUGAUAAACAACUUGUUUUUUUCUAUUUUUUUUAUUCUUUUAAAAAAAUUAAUGUCAAAGUAAACAUUUAUUGGAAAUCGACGACUUGAAGACAUAACUGGGCAAUUCGGACCAUAUUAUAUAUGAACUCAUUUUUCCAAAGUCACCUGAGUUCCUAGACCCUACUACACUUGAGAAGUUGGUUUCCUCUGGUUUCAUAACCAGGACUGUCUCUGACCUUCUCUACCACAAAAUAUAAAACCAGUUUCUAUGAUAUCCUUAUUAGUUACUACUAUCAGAGGGAAGGACAUAAGCGUUAUCAUAUUUGUACAUUACAACCUUCAUUGCCGUAUUGAUAUAGCUAACAAAGAGUUUCAAUUAACAUCCUUCAACAACUUACACAUUAUCUCAUAAUAUUCAUAAUAUAUGUGCAUUCAAAUCCAUAUGCAUUAGAAAACUCAUGGAGUACUAAACAAAGAUCCUCGGCAAUGUCAAAACAAAAGAUAUACUAGCUUUUACCUCUUAUACAGUUCUUUUCUCCCAUUGUGUACCUAGCAAGAGUUCAGUUCCAACAAUUUUAUCACUUGAUGGGGUUUCCACCACUGAGGAACUGUUUUCAUUCAUUAAUC
This 2464-nucleotide long non-coding RNA is filed under the name Aquilegia coerulea. Its description in RNAcentral is "long non-coding RNA (ACOE_LNC000264)". The record is from RNAcentral. Lineage: Eukaryota; Viridiplantae; Streptophyta; Magnoliopsida; Ranunculales; Ranunculaceae.